RNAcentral lists this ribosomal RNA (1936 nucleotides) under Staphylococcus aureus. RNAcentral describes it as "partial 23S ribosomal RNA". It matches the Rfam family "Bacterial large subunit ribosomal RNA", at positions 260 to 2196 of the family's 2925-position model. Lineage: Bacteria; Bacillati; Bacillota; Bacilli; Caryophanales; Staphylococcaceae. The record is from RNAcentral.
GGGAAGAGCCCAAACCAACAAGCUUGCUUGUUGGGGUUGUAGGACACUCUAUACGGAGUUACAAAGGACGACAUUAGACGAAUCAUCUGGAAAGAUGAAUCAAAGAAGGUAAUAAUCCUGUAGUCGAAAAUGUUGUCUCUCUUGAGUGGAUCCUGAGUACGACGGAGCACGUGAAAUUCCGUCGGAAUCUGGGAGGACCAUCUCCUAAGGCUAAAUACUCUCUAGUGACCGAUAGUGAACCAGUACCGUGAGGGAAAGGUGAAAAGCACCCCGGAAGGGGAGUGAAAUAGAACCUGAAACCGUGUGCUUACAAGUAGUCAGAGCCCGUUAAUGGGUGAUGGCGUGCCUUUUGUAGAAUGAACCGGCGAGUUACGAUUUGAUGCAAGGUUAAGCAGUAAAUGUGGAGCCGUAGCGAAAGCGAGUCUGAAUAGGGCGUUUAGUAUUUGGUCGUAGACCCGAAACCAGGUGAUCUACCCUUGGUCAGGUUGAAGUUCAGGUAACACUGAAUGGAGGACCGAACCGACUUACGUUGAAAAGUGAGCGGAUGAACUGAGGGUAGCGGAGAAAUUCCAAUCGAACCUGGAGAUAGCUGGUUCUCUCCGAAAUAGCUUUAGGGCUAGCCUCAAGUGAUGAUUAUUGGAGGUAGAGCACUGUUUGGACGAGGGGCCCCUCUCGGGUUACCGAAUUCAGACAAACUCCGAAUGCCAAUUAAUUUAACUUGGGAGUCAGAACAUGGGUGAUAAGGUCCGUGUUCGAAAGGGAAACAGCCCAGACCACCAGCUAAGGUCCCAAAAUAUAUGUUAAGUGGAAAAGGAUGUGGCGUUGCCCAGACAACUAGGAUGUUGGCUUAGAAGCAGCCAUCAUUUAAAGAGUGCGUAAUAGCUCACUAGUCGAGUGACACUGCGCCGAAAAUGUACCGGGGCUAAACAUAUUACCGAAGCUGUGGAUUGUCCUUUGGACAAUGGUAGGAGAGCGUUCUAAGGGCGUUGAAGCAUGAUCGUAAGGACAUGUGGAGCGCUUAGAAGUGAGAAUGCCGGUGUGAGUAGCGAAAGACGGGUGAGAAUCCCGUCCACCGAUUGACUAAGGUUUCCAGAGGAAGGCUCGUCCGCUCUGGGUUAGUCGGGUCCUAAGCUGAGGCCGACAGGCGUAGGCGAUGGAUAACAGGUUGAUAUUCCUGUACCACCUAUAAUCGUUUUAAUCGAUGGGGGGACGCAGUAGGAUAGGCGAAGCGUGCGAUUGGAUUGCACGUCUAAGCAGUAAGGCUGAGUAUUAGGCAAAUCCGGUACUCGUUAAGGCUGAGCUGUGAUGGGGAGAAGACAUUGUGUCUUCGAGUCGUUGAUUUCACACUGCCGAGAAAAGCCUCUAGAUAGAAAAUAGGUGCCCGUACCGCAAACCGACACAGGUAGUCAAGAUGAGAAUUCUAAGGUGAGCGAGCGAACUCUCGUUAAGGAACUCGGCAAAAUGACCCCGUAACUUCGGGAGAAGGGGUGCUCUUUAGGGUUAACGCCCAGAAGAGCCGCAGUGAAUAGGCCCAAGCGACUGUUUAUCAAAAACACAGGUCUCUGCUAAACCGUAAGGUGAUGUAUAGGGGCUGACGCCUGCCCGGUGCUGGAAGGUUAAGAGGAGUGGUUAGCUUCUGCGAAGCUACGAAUCGAAGCCCCAGUAAACGGCGGCCGUAACUAUAACGGUCCUAAGGUAGCGAAAUUCCUUGUCGGGUAAGUUCCGACCCGCACGAAAGGCGUAACGAUUUGGGCACUGUCUCAACGAGAGACUCGGUGAAAUCAUAGUACCUGUGAAGAUGCAGGUUACCCGCGACAGGACGGAAAGACCCCGUGGAGCUUUACUGUAGCCUGAUAUUGAAAUUCGGCACAGCUUGUACAGGAUAGGUAGGAGCCUUUGAAACGUGAGCGCUAGCUUACGUGGAGGCGCUGGUGGG